RNA transcript from Phoenix dactylifera (date palm), 5360 nucleotides. RefSeq lists it as uncharacterized. Lineage: Eukaryota; Viridiplantae; Streptophyta; Magnoliopsida; Arecales; Arecaceae. The record is from RefSeq and is a predicted model, not a curated record.
CUCGUUCCUUUAAACCCGUCGCCUUCCCCUCCGCCAAGAAGCCGAAAGCCCCCUUCUGUACCUCACUUCCAAUGGCGAAAGGUAACCAUUCUUCUUCUUCGGCGGCGGCGGCGGCGGCGUCGUCCUUUCCCCUCUUCGUCGACUCGAGCCUCGACACCCAUCUGGCCAUGGUCGUCUCCUCGGACGACACCGUUGCUGAUCUCAGGAGGAAGAUAAGGAUUGAGCAUGCUCUUUGCUUUCCAAAUGUUGGAGAAAUCACUAUCCAUGCAAUGAAGGUCAAGCGCAGAUCAUCCUUCUAUAAUUUGUCGAAUUUGAUGCUUGUUAGAGGUGCUUUCGAUGGGAUCAAAGGGACUUGGUUUCUUCAUAUCGAUGCUGCUCCUGUAUCCAUGAUGAAAAGUCAAGCAGGAAUUGCAGAAAAUGUUGUAAGUGAGAAUGUUGAGCAAUCAGAAAAGCAUGUUCAGCUUCAUGCAGAGCCUAAUGUUAGGGUCUCACUGGGCCACUGCCGUGAUAAGUUGCAAGGUGUUGUGGAUGAAAGGCAAUCAUUGCUUGAAACUUCUUUGGACAGAUCAGCCAAUCAUGGUAAUUCAUCAUUGCCAAAUGCUAGAAAUUGUCAAAUUGAAAGCUUGCAUGGUUCUUCACAUGAUCAGAUUGGUAUGGGUGAUACAAAUGUUGACACAUCAAAGGGGAUGAACUUAAGAGAGAAAGGGGUGUCUAGACUUGAUCAGAUUCCUAAUGUAACAGACAUGCACAAAGGACAAGUUCAUGAGGGCAGUGAAGAGGUUGGACUGCAUGUACAGUCCAAAACUGACCUUGUUGUUGGUCAAGAGGAGGAUGGUGGAGAAAAAGGAUCUGAGAAUCCUGAUGUUGGAUCUAGCGAUGGAGAUGCUUCUAUUUUUGCUACCAAGAAAGAAAAAUUCAGAAAAAGGAGUAACAUCUCAGUGAACAAUCUUAUUUUGGAUGGAGAUUCAGAACAUCUUUCUCAAGAGAAGAAAAAGCACAACAAGGAAAAAGAUGGCUCUUUUAGGGAGGCACCUCUUGAGGAUCCUGCAAUAGGAAAUAACUUUGAAAGGCCUGCCUAUAAGAAAGAGACACCCAAGUUGGAAAAUGCUCCACCACAAACCAAUUCUCAGGAGAAACAUCUGGCUUUUAUAGAGGAAUUAUCCAGUAAACUACUCCGAGGUGACUCAGUGCCAGAAAAUCUAGUGGAUGAUAAAAGGAAAAAGAAAAGGAGAAAAAAGUCAUCCAAGUUUCUUGAUGAAGUUGAACCAGCUGUUCCAUUCAAUAAUGGUGGUACUAGCUUGUCACACAGCAUGGAGGAACCCCAUACCAAAAUUGGACCUUAUGAUAGCUCAGUGGAUUUAACUGGUACUGUUAUUCCUGUAGGUGAACAAGCCGUUGAAGGUCAUGCCAAGGAAGCAGGGGUAAACAACUAUAGAACUCUGACCAAAGUGCCUGAUGCUGCAGUCCAUACUGAAGAAGCUACUAAGAAUGCAGCAGAUGAGAACCAGGAAGUUCCUUUGGAUCAUAGCCAUACAGAAUGGAGUGAAGAACCUAGCAUUCUAGAUGGUCUGAAAGUGGCUGCAUCACUUACAAAUCCAUCUGGAGUUGAUGACUUUCCAACUAACUCGCUUCACAGCAGAAAAAUGUCCAAUAAUGAAUUACCAAAAACCAUGUCAAGCAAGUUUGAUCCUGCUCAUCCUUCAGAACAUGUGAAUAAAGAGAAUAUUGGUGAAGCAUCUGGAGGCAACUGUAGGGAUCUGCAUGAAGAAUCAGAUGCAGCAACCAUUCUUAAAAAAUUUGGGGAUCCUAACAACCUUGCAAGUUUAGACGUUGAAGUUCCUUCUGGCACUGAUAUUAGAAGUGUACAUAGUAGGAGGAAAAAGAAUACAAAGAAAACUGAAUUUACCAGUCUGCAACCUGAUAAAAAUGGGAGUGCUCAUCCUUCACGUGAUCAAGUCACUGAAGAGAACUGCAAAGAGACAUUAGGUGACCCCCAUAGUGAACUUGGUAAAGAGUAUGAGGGAGCAACUGUUCUUAGAGAGGUUGUUGCCCUUGAAAAUUCUGCUGUAGUGGAUUCUCAUAUGCUUUCUAAUAUUAAUGAGAAAAGAUCAUGUAGGAAAAGGAAAAAAUCAGCCAAAUCCAAACUUCAAAAUCAUGAGUUCGUUCAUCAUGCCCACUCUCUGGGGAAAGGUCCUGUUAAAGAAAAGCCCACAGAAACAUUGGAUAUGAACCAUAAAGAUUUGGGUAAUGAAUCUAAGCCAACAACCAGUCAUGGAGAGCCUGCAGCUCUUGGAAGUCCUUCAAAAGUAGAUUUUGUCAUUCCUUCAAAUAACAAUGCUAAAAUCUCACAUCACCACAAGAAAAAAUUAGCCAAAUCAGAAGUGUUAAACAACAUGUCCAGCAAUCAUGACCUAUCUUCAAGGGAUUUGAGUACUCCAGAGAAUUUUGAGAGAGCAUUUGGAACUACUCACAGAGAUUCAGGUAAUGAAUCUAAUGCUACGAUGCUUCCUGAUGAUGCUUCACAGAAUAUAUCUAAACUAGGUUCAGCCUCGUUGUUCAAUGAUUCAUCUAACAAGCAUGAAACUGCCCACCUUUCAGCAAAAAACAUAACCCAAAAGAACAGAAAGGAAUUGUUGGGAAAUACUCAUGAUAAUUCUGGUAAAGAAAUUGGCCAGAAUAUGACCCAUAAGAGAUCUGCAGAUUCUAUUGAAGUGCAUGAACAUAUGGAUCCUCCCGGGUAUGGUAGUGGCAAGACUAACUUCAUCGAUUCUUUUCUUCCUAAAGUUGUCGAGCAUGAAUCUGUUCUUUCUGCAAAGGAGCUUCCAUUGAAGGAGACUGUAACUGGGAAAUUAAAAAAGGGAAAAAGUAAAAGGAAAAAAAAAUCAAGCAUGUAUUCACAAGAUUCCACUGUUGACACGGUAAAGCCUUCAAGUUCAAAUGAGCAGCACAUGCAUAAGAAGAAAUACCAAGAUGCUGAUCCUGGUAAGCAUUUUCUGACUGAUUCUAUGGUACAACUCACAGAUAAGGAAGUUAAAACUAAAAAAGUGCAUAAUGAAAAAACUGUAGAGAGGUCAAGUAAAUCCAAUGUGAAUUUUGGUGAUACCUCUUCUAUUAUGAUUUCACCACGAAAGCCACAUGAUGAUAGCGGACCUGAAAAGAAGCUUCAGGAAUACAAAUCUGACACUUCUUGUCAGGUAUCCCUGUCAAGGAAUGAGCAUAGCAAGCAUGUGCAUCAUCCCAAGGAAAAGUCUUCUGUUUCUGAUGGUAAGCUUAAAUCUCAUAAUCAUCAGGAUGACACUGCCAUUGUGCACUCCUCAGACGAUGUCCUCCAGUCUGAGAAUUUAAGUACUGUCAUCAGAGGUCGUGCUGUAGGUGCACCUGCUACUCAGAGUGAUAGUGCUGAUGCAGUGGCUAAUCUGGCAGCAUCUAGUGACAGCACAGAAGAUAUACCACACCAAACUAAACAAUAUAGAGUUGCAGUUAGGAAGGUUCCAAGUAAAGGAUUUGGGAAGGUUCUUAAGAAUUCUAAACAAGAAAAGCCUUUGUUAGUUACUUCUAGUGCAAUAUUUGAUGAUGCUACAAGUGGAAGUUCUGAUGAUGAGUUUGGGAUUAGUAAUAUAGAAGAUCCUAUGAAAGCAGCCUCAGAUAAUUCAUCUACGUCUUCUGACUCAGAUGGGGACCUUGAAGAAACACAGACUCCAGAGUCAAUUUAACUGAACUUUCCAAAGUUAUUCCCUGUCUGGACUACUCUCAUGCUUCUUCUGGAAUUAAACCUGCUGCUUAUGGUAAAAAAGAUGAGGGAACUGAUGGUAGGAGUAUCUUUCUGUCACAGUGGAUCGAAGAGAAAAUAACUAGUUAGUAAUAGAGACAAAUAGUAGUUGGAUGAGGUGCUACAUCAGGUUUCAAGGAAAAUUGGUUGACAGGUUUGGGAGUAGUAGGAUGCGAGUAUCCGGAAAGAUUGGAAAUGCCAGGUUGGAACUUCAUAGUACCAAAACUGAGUGGGGUGGAAAGAGAUGCAAGGGCUUGGUCAAACAUGAAAAGGAUGAGGAAGACUAUUAUUUUACAGAUGAAAAGUAUGCAAGAGAUUCAGACACUAGUUCACAUUGGCAAUUUUAAUGCGCAAAUGGCUUUAUUUUGGAGACAUCACUCAAGAUCAUCAGACUUGCCAUUCUGAAAGGGACAUUGAUGAGGUUUGUGUAAGAUGCCUACUAUGCGUGAUGCAUCAUCUAAUGAUAAUUUUAACUUCUAUCAGUUAUACGUUUUGUCUAUGUGCACCAAUGUUCAUUCUGUGGACCUGAUGAUAUUGUUUUAGACGUGUAGAUUCACGACAUCAGAAACUCAGCGCUAUUACAUCCAUCUGCACUGCAACACUAGCAGAAAGAUGGCCUUGGAAGUAUUCAAGAAAAAGCUUAACUUUUAAGCUUAUUGUGACCAAGAGUGUACAACUGAAUAAAAUAUGGUUGUUGUGUUUGGCUAGUUGUAAACAUUAAGAGUUUCACCUAGAGUUUGCUGAGGUAAAGAAUGUGGCUGUUGUUUGCUAGCUUGCGCGCAUGCACACUGUAAUUUGAUUUCACACUUCUGAAGAUCAAAUGCAUCCAAAAAGAAUAUGCCCUUAGGCACGAUCCAGAAGUGCAAGCAGCUACAAAAAGGCGAGGCUUUUGGCAUCUCAAUCACAAGCUGAGGACUCUGAAAUCCAGUCCAUCGACAUAGUCCCUGAAACUCAAACGGACUCUGCUGCACCUUGAUAAUGCUUGCAGUUUUGCAAGUGAAACUACUGCUGUCCUCUACCACCUAUGGCACCUGGUUUCUGAUAAAGCAGUGUGGCCGUGCAGAGAAUCAUACACCUUGUUUUCUGCAUUUUUUUUUUUUUGGCCUCGCCUGCUCUCGUAUCGACUUUUGACGGUCAGCAAAUUAUGAGGAUUAGAGCUUCUAUUCAUGUAUCCAUGGUAUUGGUUGAGGUUUUAAAUUGACAGUGAUUCAUUUUUUCGGAAAUAUUUGUUGGUGAAUCAGAUCUCAAGAAGUAUAGGAGACCAUUUAUUGGAAAAUUCUUCGUCUCUCCUAACACAUCCCUGAAGAGGCUGUAGGCCAUGGUUUCCAGGAACCACCAAGGAAAUGUUGGCAUUGUAGCCCCAGAUUAGCACCCAGACCCCCUUCAUUUCAUACCAAAAACUGGGUUUGCACCCUGUCCAGGAAAGUUCUUUGGAAACCUAGCAGCUUUCUUGUUGGAAUGUGUUGACAAUGACAUAUAUCUGAUGAGAUGGAGGCAGCAAGGAGCUUGGUGUGUUGCAAGGAGUUUCGAGGGGCUGUUAGAAAACUAUGAGAUUGAUCUCUUAUUUAGCUAAACUAGACCUGUGAUUUGA